GGAGUAGUAGCUCAAGGGAUAGAGCGCAUUAUAAGUAGCUUUUAAAUUAUCUGCUGAAGGUCAAUAAAGGCUUACUUCUAACGAUAUUAUGAUGAUGAGGUUAUUGGUUCGAAUCCAAUCUACUCCG
RNAcentral lists this transfer RNA (127 nucleotides) under Odoribacter laneus. Its description in RNAcentral is "tRNA-OTHER". It matches the Rfam family "tRNA". From Rfam's summary of the family: Transfer RNA (tRNA) molecules are approximately 80 nucleotides in length. Their secondary structure includes four short double-helical elements and three loops (D, anti-codon, and T loops). RNAcentral also lists the same sequence under 1 other name. Lineage: Bacteria; Pseudomonadati; Bacteroidota; Bacteroidia; Bacteroidales; Odoribacteraceae. The record is from RNAcentral.